GUUGGGUAGGGGAGCGUUCUGUAAGCCUGUGAAGGUGUGUCGUGAGGCAUGCUGGAGGUAUCAGAAGUGCGAAUGCUGACAUAAGUAACGAUAAAGCGGGUGAAAAGCCCGCUCGCCGGAAGACCAAGGGUUCCUGUCCAACGUUAAUCGGGGCAGGGUGAGUCGACCCCUAAGGCGAGGCCGAAAGGCGUAGUCGAUGGGAAACGGGUUAAUAUUCCCGUACUUGGUGUUACUGCGAAGGGGGGACGGAGAAGGCUAUGUUGGCCGGGCGACGGUUGUCCCGGUUUAAGCGUGUAGGUGUGUGUUCCAGGUAAAUCCGGUUCACUUUAACACUGAGGCGUGACGACGAGGCACUACGGUGCUGAAGCAACAAAUGCCCUGCUUCCAGGAAAAGCCUCUAAGCAUCAGGUAACAUCAAAUCGUACCCCAAACCGACACAGGUGGUCAGGUAGAGAAUACCAAGGCGCUUGAGAGAACUCGGGUGAAGGAACUAGGCAAAAUGGUGCCGUAACUUCGGGAGAAGGCACGCUGACACGUAGGUGAAGUGAUUUACUCAUGGAGCUGAAGUCAGUCGAAGAUACCAGCUGGCUGCAACUGUUUAUUAAAAACACAGCACUGUGCAAACACGAAAGUGGACGUAUACGGUGUGACGCCUGCCCGGUGCCGGAAGGUUAAUUGAUGGGGUCAGCGCAAGCGAAGCUCCUGAUCGAAGCCCCGGUAAACGGCGGCCGUAACUAUAACGGUCCUAAGGUAGCGAAAUUCCUUGUCGGGUAAGUUCCGACCUGCACGAAUGGCGUAAUGAUGGCCAGGCUGUCUCCACCCGAGACUCAGUGAAAUUGAACUCGCUGUGAA
RNAcentral lists this ribosomal RNA (852 nucleotides) under Salmonella enterica subsp. enterica serovar Typhimurium str. ST4581. RNAcentral's name for it is "bacterial LSU rRNA". It matches the Rfam family "Bacterial large subunit ribosomal RNA", at positions 1223 to 2057 of the family's 2925-position model. Lineage: Bacteria; Pseudomonadati; Pseudomonadota; Gammaproteobacteria; Enterobacterales; Enterobacteriaceae. The record is from RNAcentral.